ACCGCCCGUACCGUAAACCGACACAGGUAUGCGGGGAGAGAAUCCUAAGGUGCGCGGGAGAACCCUCGUUAAGGAACUCGGCAAAAUGUACCCGUAACUUCGGGAUAAGGGUAGCCGCUGUUGUGAAAUCUGAACAGAUGGAGCAUAAGGCGGUCGCAGAGAAGAGGCCCAAGCGACUGUUUACCACAAACACAGGUGCCUGCUAAAGCGAAAGCUGACGUAUAGGUGCUGACACCUGCCCAGUGCCGGAAGGUUAAGGAAGGAUGUCCGGAGCAAUCCAAAGCAUUCGACCGAAGCCCCGGUGAACGGCGGCCGUAACUAUAACGGUCCUAAGGUAGCGAAAUUCCUUGUCGGGUAAGUUCCGACCCGCACGAAAGGUGUAACGAUUUGGGCACUGUCUCAACGAGGGACCCGGUGAAAUUGAAAUACCUGUGAAGAUGCAGGUUACCCGCGACUGGACAGAAAGACCCCAUGGAGCUUUACUGUAACCUGACAUUGGGUUUUGAUACAUCACGUACAGGAUAGGUGGGAGGCAUGGAAGCUGGGACGCUAGUCUCAGUGGAGCCGACGUUGGGAUACCACCCUUGAUGUAUCGGAAUUCUAACCGUAGUAGUAACGACACUCGGGACAGUGUCAGGCGGGCAGUUUGACUGGGGCGGUCGCCUCCCAAAGAGUAACGGAGGCGCCCAAAGGUUCCCUCAGCGCGGCCGGAAAUCGCGCGAAGAGUGUAAAGGCAGAAGGGAGCUUGACUGAGAGCCAAACACGGCGAUCAGGUACGAAAGUAGGGCUUAGUGAUCCGGUGGCAUCCAAGUGGAAGGGCCAUCGCUCAACGGAUAAAAGCUACCCUGGGGAUAACAGGCUAAUCUCUCCCAAGAGUCCAUAUCGACGGGGAGGUUUGGCACCUCGAUGUCGGCUCAUCACAUCCUGGGGCUGAAGUCGGUCCCAAGGGUUGGGCUGUUCGCCCAUUAAAGUGGUACGUGAGCUGGGUUCAGAACGUCGUGAGACAGUUCGGUCCCUAUCCAUCGCGGGCGUAAGAGAUUUGAAGGGGGCUGCUCCUAGUACGAGAGGACCGGAGUGGACGGACCAAUGGUGUACCAAUUAUCCCGCCAGGGGUACAGUUGGGUAGCUACGUCCGGAAAGGAUAAACGCUGAAAGCAUCUAAGCGUGAAACCAGCCUUAAGAUGAGAUCUCUCAUAGAGUAAUCUAGUAAGACACCUUAAAGAAGAUGAGGUUGAUAGGUCGGGAGUGUAAGUACAGUAAUGUAUUCAGCGGACCGAUACUAAUAUGUCGAGGGCUUGACUUA
This 1303-nucleotide ribosomal RNA is filed under the name human gut metagenome. RNAcentral describes it as "bacterial LSU rRNA". It matches the Rfam family "Bacterial large subunit ribosomal RNA", at positions 1637 to 2925 of the family's 2925-position model. The record is from RNAcentral.